UCCUUAUGAUAACUGAAGGGUCAUCUAGAUCAGUGGAGCCUCCAAAGGUGAAGAGGCUAAGGCUUGAAAAUGAGGACGUGGAUGCCAUUGUUUUCAUCGAACAGGAUGCUGAAGGUAUACUUGUCCCGCACAAUGAUGCGGUGGUUGUAAUAGUAAAUAUUAUUGAUUUUAAUGUACACCAUGUGUUUAUUGAUAACAGA
This 200-nucleotide long non-coding RNA is filed under the name Elaeis guineensis (African oil palm). Its description in RNAcentral is "long non-coding RNA (EGUI_LNC024638)". The record is from RNAcentral. Lineage: Eukaryota; Viridiplantae; Streptophyta; Magnoliopsida; Arecales; Arecaceae.